GGGUUGUGAGGUUAAGCGACUAAGCGUACACGGUGGAUGCCCUGGCAGUCAGAGGCGAUGAAGGACGUGCUAAUCUGCGAAAAGCGUCGGUAAGGUGAUAUGAACCGUUAUAACCGGCGAUGUCCGAAUGGGGAAACCCAGUGCAAUUCGUUGCACUAUCGUUAACUGAAUACAUAGGUUAACGAGGCGAACCGGGGGAACUGAAACAUCUAAGUACCCCGAGGAAAAGAAAUCAACCGAGAUUCCCCCAGUAGCGGCGAGCGAACGGGGAGCAGCCCAGAGUCUGAAUCAGCUUGUGUGUUAGUGGAACGGUCUGGAAAGUCCGACGGUACAGGGUGAUAGUCCCGUACACCAAAAUGCACAGGCUGUGAACUCGAAGAGUAGGGCGGGACACGUGGUAUCCUGUCUGAAUAUGGGGGGACCAUCCUCCAAGGCUAAAUACUCCUGACUGACCGAUAGUGAACCAGUACCGUGAGGGAAAGGCGAAAAGAACCCCGGCGAGGGGAGUGAAAAAGAACCUGAAACCGUGUACGUACAAGCAGUGGGAGCACCUUCGGGUGUGACUGCGUACCUUUUGUAUAAUGGGUCAGCGACUUAUAUUCUGUAGCAAGGUUAACCGUAUAGGGGAGCCGCAGGGAAACCGAGUCUUAACUGGGCGUUAAGUUGCAGGGUAUAGACCCGAAACCCGGUGAUCUAGCCAUGGGCAGGUUGAAGGUUGGGUAACACUAACUGGAGGACCGAACCGACUAAUGUUGAAAAAUUAGCGGAUGACUUGUGGCUGGGGGUGAAAGGCCAAUCAAACCGGGAGAUAGCUGGUUCUCCCCGAAAGCUAUUUAGGUAGCGCCUCGUGAAUUCAUCUUCGGGGGUAGAGCACUGUUUCGGCUAGGGGGUCAUCCCGACUUACCAACCCGAUGCAAACUACGAAUACCGAAGAAUGUUAUCACGGGAGACACACGGCGGGUGCUAACGUCCGUCGUGAAGAGGGAAACAACCCAGACCGCCAGCUAAGGUCCCAAAGUCAUGGUUAAGUGGGAAACGAUGUGGGAAGGCACAGACAGCCAGGAUGUUGGCUUAGAAGCAGCCAUCAUUUAAAGAAAGCGUAAUAGCUCACUGGUCGAGUCGGCCUGCGCGGAAGAUGUAACGGGGCUAAACCAUGCACCGAAGCUGCGGCAGCGACACUAUGUGUUGUUGGGUAGGGGAGCGUUCUGUAAGCCUGCGAAGGUGUGCUGUGAGGCAUGCUGGAGGUAU
Molecule: ribosomal RNA, 1248 nt
Filed under: Klebsiella pneumoniae subsp. pneumoniae
Lineage: Bacteria; Pseudomonadati; Pseudomonadota; Gammaproteobacteria; Enterobacterales; Enterobacteriaceae
Description: bacterial LSU rRNA
Rfam family: Bacterial large subunit ribosomal RNA
Source: RNAcentral